UACGUAUGGUGCAAGCGUUAUCCGGAUUUACUGGGCGCAAAGGGAGCGCAGGCGGCGCGCCAAGUCUGAUGUGAAACCCCGAGGCUCAACCCCGGGCAUGCAUUGGAAACUGGCGGGCUGGAGUGCCGGAGAGGUAAGCGGAAUUCCUAGUGUAGCGGUGAAAUGCGUAGAUAUUAGGAGGAACACCAGUGGCGAAGGCGGCUUACUGGACGGCAACUGACGCUGAGGCUCGAAAGCGUGGGGAGCAGACAGG
RNAcentral lists this ribosomal RNA (253 nucleotides) under uncultured bacterium. RNAcentral describes it as "partial 16S ribosomal RNA". It matches the Rfam family "Bacterial small subunit ribosomal RNA", at positions 524 to 776 of the family's 1533-position model. The record is from RNAcentral.